Molecule: ribosomal RNA, 453 nt
Filed under: uncultured bacterium
Lineage: Bacteria
Description: bacterial SSU rRNA
Rfam family: Bacterial small subunit ribosomal RNA
Source: RNAcentral
CGGCUACAGGAAAUGGUAGCCGAGUGACGGUACUUUAUUAGAAAGCCACGGCUAACUACGUGCCAGCAGCCGCGGUAAUACGUAGGUGGCAAGCGUUAUCCGGAAUUAUUGGGCGUAAAGAGGGAGCAGGCGGCAGCAAGGGUCUGUGGUGAAAGCCUGAAGCUUAACUUCAGUAAGCCAUAGAAACCAGGCAGCUAGAGUGCAGGAGAGGAUCGUGGAAUUCCAUGUGUAGCGGUGAAAUGCGUAGAUAUAUGGAGGAACACCGGUGGCGAAGGCGACGAUCUGGCCUGCAACUGACGCUCAGUCCCGAAAGCGUGGGGAGCAAAUAGGAUUAGAUACCCUAGUAGUCCACGCCGUAAACGAUGAGUACUAAGUGUUGGAUGUCAAAGUUCAGUGCUGCAGUUAACGCAAUAAGUACUCCGCCUGAGUAGUACGUUCGCAAGAAUGAAACUC